Molecule: long non-coding RNA, 5271 nt
Filed under: Homo sapiens (human)
Lineage: Eukaryota; Metazoa; Chordata; Mammalia; Primates; Hominidae
Description: HSALNT0197609
Source: RNAcentral
CUGAGGCCCAGAGAAGGGACAGGACUCACCCAGGGCCACACAGCGAGGCUAAGGCAGAGGGAAAACCAGAAUCCAUGUGGCUCCCCCCAGACUCAGUGUGUGGCUGGUCACUGCUGAUGGCUCACCCACCAGGGACAGGAGGAGGAGGAGGAGAAGGGCAAAAAGGAGGAGGAAGAGAAUGAGGAGGAGGAGUUGGGGAGGAAGGGGGGGAGGAGGAGGAAGAGAGGAGGAGAAGGAACUGAAGGAAGAAGAGGAAGAGGAGGAGGAGGGAAGUAGGAGGAAGAGGAGGAAGGGAGCAGGAGGUAUCUGUGGGCUCUCAUUGCCCAGUUUCGUCCUCUGUGGGGAAGGCCGGUGGGAGCCUGUCACGGCUCAUUGGUCUCUGCGCUGCCUGGCGGCUUUCACACAAUAGCAGGUUUCAGUAGCUGUGGGAGAGCCCCCAUGGCCCUUGAAGAUUAAGGAAACAGGACUCCCAGGAUAAAAAGUUCCCUUUCUAACCAGACCAGCUGAGACUGGUUGAAACCAAGAUAGCUGACCGAGAAACUUCAAAAAGACCUUCAGCCUUAUUAUCAUCUCAUUUCCAUGCUCAGUGACACGCCCACAGUGCCAUGAUGGUUGGAAAUCACCAUGACGAUGACUGGAGGAAGGAAGGUCGCGCUCCGGUUCCAGGAAGCUCACUGCCCGCUCCCGGAAAAGACAUGAAUAUUCCUCCCCUUGCUUGGGCCACGGAAUGAAGCCUGCACUGCGGACACUCACUUUCGGUUUCAUGUAUUGGCUUCGUGACACCCCACAGCGAAAGACCCUCUGUUCUGGGGGAAUGACUGUGUUGGUGACAAAACCAUGCUUUCUGGAUCACUGUGGUAUUACGGCAGGGCUUGAAGUCAGGUAUGUGGGUUCUCCAACUCUGUUCUUUUUUCUUCCUCAUGGUGUUGGCUGUCCGAGGACUUUCGCCUUUCCAUAUGAACUUUAGACUCAGGUGGCAUCGCCUGCAGAAUGCCUUGCUGGGAUUGGCCGGGAUUGAACGUUAGACUCAGGUGGCAUCACCUGCAGAAUGCCUUGCUGGGAUUGGCCGGGAUUGAACGUUAGACUCAGGUGGCAUCACCUGCAGAAUGCCUUGCUGGGACUGGCUGGGAUUGAACGUUAGACUCAGGUGGCAUCGCCUGCAGAAUGCCUUGCGGGGAUUGGCUGGGAUUGAACGUUAGACUCAGGUGGCAUCGCCUGCAGAAUGCCUUGAGGGGAUUGGCCGGGAUUGAACGUUAGACUCAGGUGGCAUCGCCUGCAGAAUGCUUUGCUGGGAUUGGCUGGGAUUGAACGUUAGACUCAGGUGGCAUCGCCUGCAGAAUGCCUUGCUGGGAUUGGCCGGGAUUGAACGUUAGACUCAGGUGGCAUCGCCUGCAGAAUGCCUUGCUGGGAUUGGCCGGGAUUGAACGUUAGACUCAGGUGGCAUCACCUGCAGAAUGCCUUGCUGGGAUUGGCUGGGAUUGAACGUUAGACUCAGGUGGCAUCGCCUGCAGAAUGCCUUGCGGGGAUUGGCUGGGAUUGCAGCGAAUCACCUCUUGGCUCUAAUAGCCAAAAUUCAUAGCUGUGCAGAACUCUCUUUGAAAAAAUGGCCAAUGAUUACAUAAGAGUGAAUCCAAUUCCCAUUAACAAAUCUUAAUAUAAUACAUCCAACAAAGCUACGUGUAGAAACUAAGUGACAUCAAACAUAUGCUUGUCGUAAUCACGUGUGUUGAAAACUGUGUUGAAAAGUGCACCAGGUGCCAGUAGGGGCCAAGGGACCUAGGCCCCUUGCCAAGGUCAGCGCAUGCUGACCUGCGCUGGUGGUCGGGUGGAGGGCUCCAUUUGCAAACAGGCGACAGUUGGCUGCCAAUCUUGUUGAUCAUUUAUUUGCUGAUCAAAAAGGAAUUCUGUCAGUACUGUGCACCCUAACACAAUAUUUGGACCUUCAUACAUGUAUUAGUCGGUUUUCCUGCUGCUAAUAAAGACAUACCCAAGACUGGGUAAUUUAUAAAGGAAAGAGGUUUAAUGGACUCACAGUUCCGCAUGGCUGGGGAGGCCUCACAAUCAUGGUGAAUGGCAAAGGAGGAGCAAAGUUGCAUCUUACAUGGCAGCAAGCAAGAGGCCUUGUGCAGGGGAACUCCCAUUUAUAAAACCAUUAGAUCUCAUGAGACUUACUCACUAUCACGAGAACGGCAUGGGAAAUGUCUGCCUCCAUGAUUCAAUUACUUCCCACCAGGUCCCUCCCACAACACAUGGGAAUUAUGGGAGCUACAAUUCAAGAUGAGAUUUGGGUGGGGACUCAGCCAAACCAUAUCGAUACAUAAGCAUUUUACUGGGCUUUGGCUGUAUUAAGGGAUUGAUUGGAGAUUUUAAGAUCAUACAUUAUAAUUUUUCCCAUUUAAAAUAAUGCAAAAUGUGUUCUUCAUUGAUGCUUCCAAGCACAGAUUCUGACAUUUUGCAACAGGAUUCCAAUGUUAAGAGAAAGCUCCGUGUCACUUACUGGUUCUGAUGGGUCAGACCUGGACUCGGGGAAUGGAGGGGCUGGGUUCCUCCUAAACCACAGGGACUGAGGUGGGGUACGAGUGACUACCCAAAAGAACACUGGGGUUCAUUUAGCAACAGGAUGGGAAAUGGAUACUGAAAAGCAAAAUAACAAAUUUUACAAAAAUGUUUUCUGUCCAAGAAUUAAAUAUGUGACACAUCAAUGUGUUCAAUGUCCUUACAUAUUAUGCGUAAGACAUCUGGGCACAGAUAGGAAGGCAGGACAGGUCUGAGCACCUCCCGCCACCUCUCCCCUCCCGGCUCAGGAAAGCUGCUCACAGCUGCAGCCAGCCCGGCCCCCCGCCCUCACCUGCUCCCCCUGCUGUCUCCAGAGUCCCUGGGCUUUCUCCCCCUCCACCUGUUUCCUCUCCUUGGGCUGCCUCUCCCAGGCUAAACAUGCCCGGGGCACAUCAGUGUUGAAAAGAGCUGUUUCUCUGCUGUCCUCACCCCUAAGCUACAGGCUACACCUUGUUUCCCACCCACGGAGAAUCUUCUAGGGAAAUUAGUGCACAGGAUAAGCUUUUAACAGAUUAUCAGAAACGUUUUCAUCCUAGUGUUUCCUGUGACCAUGUGGCCCGCCCAUCCAGGAUGGUCUGCAUCCAGGGAAAGAUGGGGAAGAGGGGAGGGCAGGCCCAGUGGGGGCCUCCCCACCCACAGGCCCCUCCUCCUCCUGAUGGAGCAGCCCCAUCUGCUACAAGCACUCCCCAGGGGUGCGGGGUUCAUGCUUAGAGCAGCAAUCAUUCCUGUUUAUCUGAAAUUCAAAUCUGCCUGGCAUCAGGUACAUUCAUUUACUAACCUGCAGCUCCACCUGGAAUGAUUUGGGACAGCCCUUCCCAUCUCCCUGGGAAGGAUCAGUGGUGUUUGGACAGGCACUUUGCACCCUGGGUGCCUGUGAGGUGGGUUCCCCUUCAAGAAGAGGCCUAACCAGUGCUCCUGCUCCCUGGGUCGGGUCUCCUCACAGCCCAGGGUCUGGGUGGUCUGCAGGGCAGGCUGUUCUCUGUUCCUCCAGCAAGGAUGACCACUGCAGGUGGGGCUGCAGGGAGGCCAGGUGCUACCAGGUAGAGGCCAGAGCUGGGUCGCUCAGUUCGCUCUGCUCUUGUCCUCAGACCCCGAUGCCAGCUCUAGAAAGAGGGGCCCUUUUGCCUUGGCCUCUCCAUGGGGCACAGGCCUCCCUCCCCACCCCACCACGGCAGUGGGGGCAUGAGCUCCAGGGACACCUGCUUUCCUCACAGCCCUGCCCUGAGGACGCUGAUUUGCCUUCUUGCCACAGGUCCAGAAAAGUCUGGAUUUGAUCCUGGCACCGAGGAGGGUCUCUGUGAGCUUGGACUCCUCUCCUGACAGGGGGAAGGGCAGGGCCAGUGCAUCUCACAGCCAUGGCAGGCUGAUGGGACUGUCACACAGCUUUUUGGCCUUGAACUCAGGGCUUAAUGUUAUCAUAUCACUUAAUACUCCCAGGGACCUGGGUGAGGUACAGUCCCAUUCCCAUUUGACAGAGAGGAGGCUGGGGUGCACUGAGAGGUAAUCAGUGUGCUGGCGACAUUUAACAGCCAGCUCUCCAGAAACAUAAAUCACCCUGAUUUGUGGAGAUUGCCAGGUUCCCAGGCACAAAUAUUCCCAGCACAUCCAAUUUCAAGUGCUAGCAGUUUAACAACUGGCUCAUAAAACCCCUGAAAAUGUGAGAGUCGGCUCCCACAAGCUGCUGUGGGACAGCCCCAGCUCCCUGAUAACCUUCUAGGACCUGCCCUAGUUGGGGAGGAGACGGAUCCAGACCCCAAGGGCCUGGACACCAGGGGGGCUCCACUCAGAUCCUCUGGCCCUCACCAUUCCCAGGACCCCCUCUUGGGCUUCUGUGUUCUUCUCUCUCCAGGGCUGGCUCCUGACACUCCUCUUUAAACAACUGUCCUUAGGCCACUGAGCCCGACCAGCCCCACUGCAGUGAGCCGAAGUGGCCUGGGGGCCAGCCAUGCUGAAGCUGCCUCCUCCCAGCUUGUGGGAUAUGAUUUUGGUGUUUACAGUUUUCAGGAAUUAUAUAAACCAGGUAUGACACAGGCUGAACAUCAGUCAUGGUGAAAUUAUUCACAUCCCAGGAACCUGGCAGGGGCUGUGCUGCUGCUGCCCCUGGGAGUGAGUUGUCCCACACUCAGCAGCUCGCCCUGUCUCAUCCUCCCCACCUAGCGAGGCUUUGACCAGUGACGGGGGUGUGGGAACCUCCAACAGGGCGGCUGAGGCUGGGUUCACGCUCCAGGGCGCCCCUGCAGGACCACAAGGAAGCCAUUGCAGUCAGGAGACCUGGCGCUCAAAGCUUCGCUUAUCCUGACCCUGUGCCUCUCCCCGCUCCCUCCCGGCCCUCCCUUCACGCGUCACCUGUUCCCAAGUCCUCAUCCCAGGAUCUGCUUCCGGGGACCAGGCCUGAUAGGCUCCAAAGCUCUGCUCUUAACCAGCACCGCAACUGGAGGAAAAGCAGGAGGCAUUUGGCUGUUGAUGAUCAUGACAUUUUCAUUAUUCUGUGUGGUUUGGGUUUAUUUUACCCAAGGAGCACAGUCCACAGAAAAUAGAACAUUUCAGGAAUACCAACCAAGCUAAGUAACAUGUUCACAUGAUAUUUAUUAAAACUGUGAUGAAACCGGCUCCACAAACCGUUGAUAGAAGAUGGGCUGUGUAAAACCGGUACUGGGAAAACGGGUUGUCUGUGUGGAGGAAAGUAAGACUGAAUCGCUAACCAAUACUGCAAAC